Molecule: ribosomal RNA, 158 nt
Filed under: Trinickia caryophylli
Lineage: Bacteria; Pseudomonadati; Pseudomonadota; Betaproteobacteria; Burkholderiales; Burkholderiaceae
Description: partial 16S rRNA
Rfam family: Bacterial small subunit ribosomal RNA
Source: RNAcentral
GGGCUUCACACGUCAUACAAUGGUCGGAACAGAGGGUCGCCAACCCGCGAGGGGGAGCUAAUCCCAGAAAACCGAUCGUAGUCCGGAUUGCACUCUGCAACUCGAGUGCAUGAAGCUGGAAUCGCUAGUAAUCGCGGAUCAGCAUGCCGCGGUGAAUA